UACGUAGGGCGCAAGCGUUGUCCGGAAUUAUUGGGCGUAAAGAGCUCGUAGGCGGUCUGUUACGUCUGCUGUGAAAACCCAGGGCUUAACCCUGGGCUUGCAGUGGAUACGGGCAGACUAGAGGCAGGUAGGGGAGAAUGGAAUUCCCGGUGUAGCGGUGAAAUGCGCAGAUAUCAGGAGGAACACCAGUGGCGAAGGCGACUUCCUGGCCUGUUCUUGACGCUGAGGCGCGAAAGCUAGGGGAGCAAACGGG
Molecule: ribosomal RNA, 253 nt
Filed under: uncultured bacterium
Lineage: Bacteria
Description: partial 16S ribosomal RNA
Rfam family: Bacterial small subunit ribosomal RNA
Source: RNAcentral